UAGGAAAGCACAUGGUGACGUCUGAUCUCCCAGCUUCUGGUUUCAAAAUGGCUUUCUCUGGGGCAUUUUCUUUUGUAGCUUUUCUGAGCUCUCUCCAAAACAUCUCUGCCUUCUGUCCUCUCGUAGAGGACCCCAGCAAGGGGAUUAAGACGCAUCUCAAAUGGGCAGGGUCACCUCUCCAUGGAAACAACCUAAUGAAAAGGUCUUACCCACAAUAAGUCUGCCCCAAGAUUUGAUUAAAAGCACAUAGGCUUUCCUGCGGAUACGUAACAGAUCCAAACCAGUAUAUACACCAAGGAAAGAAAAUUUAAGCCAAGGAGUUUAUAUCCAGCAAAACUAACUUCAAGUUUAGCCAGAGUCAACCUGUUAUCAACAAGCAUGAACUGAGAGACCAUUGUUCCCAUGAACACUUCUGAAAGAACCUACCAGAAAACAAGCCUUAGACAUCCAAAAUGACUUGAGAAAUAUCAAUCUAAGGACUGGAGGUAUCCGUAUAAGAGAGAAGCAGAAGAUCUGACUAUAGACAGAAGAGUAGAAGACUAUAUGAUGGAAGCAAAAGGAAGCAGAGUCAGAGAGAAGACAACAUAUUGCUGAUUUGGAAGAUGGAGGAAGGGGCCAUGAGCCAAGGAAUGCAGUAGUAAACUCUAGAUCCUGAAACAGGCAAGAAAACAGAUUCUUCCCUAGAGCAUCUGUUGAGACCUUGAUUUAAACUCUGUGAGACAUAUUUCAGACUUCUAGCCUUCAGAACUAUAAGAGAAUGAAUGUUGUUUUAAACCACCAAGUUUUUGGUAAUUUGUUACAGCAGACAUAGGAAACUAAUAUAGUUACAAAUCAUUAUCUUAAAAAUCUAAAAAAAGGAAAGAAGCAAAUAUUUAUCCCACCCUUCCUAAAUGAACUGUACCACUUGGUAAAUAUUAGAUGUGGGAUUGUCUUCUUAUAAAAUUAUUCCAGGUAAUAAAUUAAAACACCAGGAUUUCACUAUUUUGCAACUGCAAAUGAACUAGUGAAUCUAGGCAUUGAGUACCAAUGGCUGCUAACAUCAAAAUAGAAUGAAAACAAGUUAUUAAGUGUCUUCAGAUGAAAGAACAAUAAUUUGGUCUUGCCAAAGAAAUGACUUCUGGAUGCUGCAGUUUUCAGUAAACAGAGAAAACAGAAGAACGUAUUGAACUGCACUAUGAUACAGAAUCAGCAAAAGCCAGAUUUUCAGUAUCUCAAAAGGUCACACAGCUCAGUUCUUCAAAUGAUAAAUAGUAAGGAAAAGAAUGGGAUGGGGGGACACCUGGAUAUUAAAAGAGACUUAAAAGGCAAUUCAAGUUAAUAAACUAAAGUAUCUGGGGAUGCCGUCUUGGAUGAUAAAACUAUAAAAUAUACAACAAAGUGAUUGUAAAAGUCAUAAUAUUGGAUAUGAGUAGGGGGCUUUCUGGAAUGGCUAGCAAAGCCAGGAUUAUAGUUACAAGGGUAUUUAACUUUAUAAUGAUUUACUAAGCUACAUUUGUUUCUGUGUUUUUCUGUAACUUUUACAAUAAAAAGAUUAAAAAUGAAA
Molecule: long non-coding RNA, 1543 nt
Organism: Choloepus didactylus (southern two-toed sloth)
Lineage: Eukaryota; Metazoa; Chordata; Mammalia; Pilosa; Megalonychidae
Exons: 2
Source: RefSeq, a predicted model, not a curated record